UAGUCAACUAUUUAAAGAUUUC
RNAcentral lists this non-coding RNA (22 nucleotides) under Arabidopsis thaliana (thale cress). The record is from RNAcentral. Lineage: Eukaryota; Viridiplantae; Streptophyta; Magnoliopsida; Brassicales; Brassicaceae.